GAUGAACGCUGGCGGCGUGCCUAAUACAUGCAAGUCGAGCGAAUGGAUUAAGAGCUUGCUCUUAUGAAGUUAGCGGCGGACGGGUGAGUAACACGUGGGUAACCUGCCCAUAAGACUGGGAUAACUCCGGGAAACCGGGGCUAAUACCGGAUAACAUUUUGAACCGCAUGGUUCGAAAUUGAAAGGCGGCUUCGGCUGUCACUUAUGGAUGGACCCGCGUCGCAUUAGCUAGUUGGUGAGGUAACGGCUCACCAAGGCAACGAUGCGUAGCCGACCUGAUGGGGUGAUCGGCGACACUGGGACUGAGCCACGGCCCAGACUCCUACGGGAGGCAGCAGUAGGGAAGCUUCCGCAAUGGACGAAAGUCUGACGGAGCAACGCCGCGUGAGUGAGGAAGGCUUUCGGGUCGUAAAACUCUGUUGUUAGGGAAGAACAAGUGCUAGUUGAAUAAGCUGGCACCUUGACGGUACCUAACCAGAAAGCCACGGCUAACUACGUGCCAGCCGCCGCGGUAA
RNAcentral lists this ribosomal RNA (515 nucleotides) under uncultured bacterium. RNAcentral's name for it is "partial 16S ribosomal RNA". It matches the Rfam family "Bacterial small subunit ribosomal RNA", at positions 28 to 523 of the family's 1533-position model. The record is from RNAcentral.